This is a long non-coding RNA of Micropterus salmoides (largemouth bass), 300 nucleotides long. RefSeq lists it as uncharacterized. The record is from RefSeq and is a predicted model, not a curated record. The transcript is spliced from 2 exons. Lineage: Eukaryota; Metazoa; Chordata; Actinopteri; Centrarchiformes; Centrarchidae.
GAGGAGGAGUAACAAAAACAACCGAGUGCUUAAAAAAAACAAAAAACAACGGUGUGCUUCCGUUUCCGGAAUCCAUGUUCACGCCUGCGGAUACAAAGACACAAGAGGCUGCAGGAAGUCUCUUCGGUGGACGCAGAGCUGCGAAGAUGCAAAGUGGCAACAAGCUGUGGGGCAACUUUGAGUGCAUGCAAAUGUCCUGUGUCGCUCUGGGCUUCACCUCAGAUGAAACAACCCACAAACCACCUGUCAGUUUCCCACACAUUGACAACUGCCCAUUCACCAAUUAAAAUGAUGUCAGCA